CUACCUACGGGAGCAGCAGUGGGGAAUAUUGGACAAUGGGGGAAACCCUUAUCCAGCGACGCCGCGUGAGGGAAGAAGGUUUUCGGAUUGUAAACCUCUGUCAGUGGGGACGAUAAUGACGGUACCCACGGAGGAAGCCACGGCUAACUACGUGCCAGCAGCCGCGGUAAUACGUAGGUGGCAAGCGUUGUCCGGAAUUACUGGGUGUAAAGGGAGCGUAGACGGCUGUGCAAGUCUGAAGUGAAAUGCCGGGGCCCAACCCCGGAACUGCUUUGGAAACUGUACAGCUAGAGUGCAGGAGGGGG
RNAcentral lists this ribosomal RNA (305 nucleotides) under uncultured bacterium. Its description in RNAcentral is "bacterial SSU rRNA". It matches the Rfam family "Bacterial small subunit ribosomal RNA", at positions 335 to 658 of the family's 1533-position model. The record is from RNAcentral.